Molecule: long non-coding RNA, 1547 nt
Organism: Pseudoliparis swirei
Lineage: Eukaryota; Metazoa; Chordata; Actinopteri; Perciformes; Liparidae
Exons: 3
Source: RefSeq, a predicted model, not a curated record
UCGCUCAGACUCACCUCGGGGGCGGCGGGGGUCCGCUCUCGGGUCUCCGCCUUUGGUCUCCUCGGGUGGGUCGACAGGUGAAGAAAUAGGGCUCACAAAAAAGUAGGUCCACGAACCGAAUGUAAAGUUUAAGACUGCAAGGCAGCCAAGUAUUUUAUUCAAAAAAAAGAAGAAAGAAAUAAACAAAGUACAAUUAUAAGUGAGUUCCCUCUCGGGAGCCUGACGCAAAAGUCACAAGAACUCAAAAAAACUCUCCUUUUCUUCAGCACCGAAGAAAAGAAGAAAAAUAGACAAAGUACGUCAGGCGCCCGUGAGUUCUUCACGGACGCCUGACGCAAACCACAGCAUAUGAAAAAACCCUUUUUUCUCAAAAACUCUCCCAAAGACCCUUUUUUCCUUUUCCCUGUUCAUCACCUUUAUACCCUCGGCUCCUCCCACUUUUACCGGAUAUCCGUCCCCCUCUUUGGGGUGCUGAUGGGGGGUUCAUCCCCCCCCCCCCUCUCUUCCUGAGAGGUUCUGGAGAGACUCUCUGUCCCACUUUAAAGAGGGGGACCGUUGUCUUCUCCUAUCUCUCAGGCACUUAGGGUACCCUCUUUAUGAUCCUUUCAGACUUGGUGAGACUUCCCGAUGCCAGUGACAUCAAACACACUCUAACCGGGGGUCAGGAUACAGAACAUAUUGGGAGACAUAUAUUACAUUAUCAUAUCAAAGACCAUUGAUCUACAGGCAGGUUAACACACAUGAAUCCAGGCUGGUGUUUAUUCACUCCGUAGUAACAUCCUCUCUGGCCCAUUUGGUCAGGAUUUGGGCUCCUGAACACACAAUCAACCAGGUCUUCAUUUGAAUAUCACAAGAGGUGCCAUGGUUACCUCUCGUGUCGAGCCGGUUGUAAACGCCUCCGCUGACCCCUCAGGACCCCUGUUCUGUCACACCUGGCCCUCUGCUUAUCGUCCCAGCGAUGGCCUCGACGCUUUUAUUUGAUCUUACAGCCACUCUGCCUGUCGGCCGGCCUGAUGGAUGCCUUGUUGCUUUCCUGUUGUUGUAGUCUAAUGGAACUGGGGUCCCCUUUGAUCUGUUUUAUUACUCACAUUCCGCAUUCACUUUUCCCGGCCUGGUCUACUCUUGCUAAUCCCAGAAAAAUUCGCAUUUAUUUGUCCCACUUCUAACAGUACGUCCUCUUCUACCGGGACGGCCGCGAGGUGCCGGACCUGAAGCUGGCGGCGUACGUCCGCCGGGCGGCGCUGUUCCCGGAGCGCCUGAAGCACGGGAACCUCUCCCUGAGCAUCCGGAACGUCACGCCGGCCGACCAGGGGAGCUACCGCUGCUUCGUGCCCACGCUGCGGGGCCCGCUGCCGGCCUCCACCGUGCAGCUGCUGGUCGGGGCAACGCAAUCUGAGGAAACCACAGCGCCGCCCAGAACCCUCCCAAAUCCAGAAGAACACCGAGAGACGGAUGUUACAGUUUCUCCGUCAGGUGGGCGCCUCCAUCACGGCGCUCUGGUCCCGGUGGGCGUCGGCCUCCUGCUGGUCGGUGGCGUCGGAGUUUGU